Mirounga angustirostris (Northern elephant seal) is the source of this 1635-nucleotide long non-coding RNA. RefSeq lists it as uncharacterized. Lineage: Eukaryota; Metazoa; Chordata; Mammalia; Carnivora; Phocidae. The transcript has 4 exons. The record is from RefSeq and is a predicted model, not a curated record.
UUAUUUUCAUUAACCUUUAACUAAAAUCUAGUAUUUCUUUCAAUUAGGAAAUUGCCAACCAACUGUGUAGUACUAGCAUGGCUAUGACUUUGUCUUCACUAGAAAUCAGACAUUUUCAUGUAUGAUAGUUGUGGAAGCUGCAUGAACUGCUGUGAUAGCUUGUUAUUUAAUGCAUGAGCAAAAAAGCAAUGCUGCUUCUUCGUAACUUUGAUUUUAAAAAGCAUUUUGAAAACUGUAUGCAAUUGGUUUUCUUUAAAACCUAUGUACUUUGUAAUAUGCAUUUAUAGACAUUAUUCUGGGAAGGGGUCCACGGGCUUCACCAGAUUGUGAAAAGAUCCAUGACACAGAAGCAUUUGAGUGCCCCUGUGAGCAUGAGAGAAACAUUGUUCCACGCCCAGUGUGGAGCCCAACAUGGGGCUUGAACCCAUGACCCUGAGAUCAAGACCUGAACUGAGAUCAUGAGUUGGAGGCCUAACUGACUGAGCCACCCAGGAAAGUAUGAAGGCAGAGAAUUCAUUAGCUAAAAUAUGGGAUUCAGGAUCAUCUAUAUAUUCAACUGGCUUCCUGAAUCAUCUGAAGACAACAGAUAUUGAUGGUUGUGGCACCAUCUAGUGGUUCUCGAAGCGUGGCUUGGGUACUCUUGGAGGUGUUCGAUACCUUUUCAUGGAAUCUGUGAGUCAAAACUAUUUUUGUAGUUUUUGUCUUUUGCAUUCUCAUUCUCUCUCAUUCUCUGAUACAGCAGAGUAUUCCAGAGGCUACAUGACAUGUAGUAACACAACUGACUGGAUACAGAAAGAGAGACGGAAUCCAGCUUUCUUCAAUUAAUCCAGACAGUAAAGAGAUUUGCAAAAAUGUAAAAUGAUGCCACUCUUUUCACUAUUUUUUUUAAAAAUAAUAUUUGUGUUAAUAUGUAAUGGGUUUACUAUUGUUACUUAAUAUUUAAAAAAUUUCUUGGUUUUAAUUUCUAAUAUGGCAACUACUAAUAGAUACAAUUUUUUAAAGGCUGUUUAGAGUCUUUAAUUUUUACAAGUGUAAAGGAGACCUCAGGCCAAAAAGUUUACAUUUUAUAAACUGGUCAAAUUGUACAAAUUGGUCGAAAGCAGGUACUUACCCAAAAUGCAGGAAAUUCGAAUGUAAGGCCUGUAACUCAAAGUUUUAGGUUUUUUCCACCACUGAAUGGCCAAACUUCUUUGAGCAAACAUGCUGAUAUCUUACCUAGUUUUCAAGCCUGACAAAAUAUGCCACUUCUUCCAUGAAGAUCUUUUCUAUUUCUUUCCAACUGCACAUGCUCUCUGCUGGUUUGAUCUGUAUGCCAUUUCCUCCCCCUCCCAGCUGUCUUAUUGUUUUGUAUUUUAAUUAUUUGUAUACUUGUCAUAAUCAGAAUGUGUCCCCCCAAAAUUCACAUGUUGAAAUCCUAAUGCCUGAUGUGAUGAUAUUAGGAGGUGAGGUCUUUGGGAGGUGCUUAGGUCAUGAGAGUGGAGCCUUCAUGAAUGGGAUUAGUGUUCUUAUAAAUGGGACUUCACAGAGACCCCUACCCUUUUUGCCAUGUGAUACAAAAAGUCUGCAACCCAGAAGCAGGCCCUCACCCAACCUUGUUGGCACCCUGAUCCAGCCUCUAGAAUUGAGAGAAAUAAA